GCUUGUCUCAAAGAUUAAGCCAUGCAUGUCUAAGUAUAAAUAUCUAUACUGUGAAACUGCGUAUGGCUCAUUAAAUCAGUUAUAGUUUAUUUGAUGAUACCCCACUACAUGGAUAACCGUAGUAAUUCUAGAGCUAAUACAUGCGUCAAAUCCCGACUUUUUGGAAGGGAUGUAUUUAUUAGAUUGAAACCAAUGCGGGUUCCCCGGUAUUUGGUGAUUCAUAAUAACUUUCGGAUCGACUUCGGUCGAUGCAUCAUUCAAGUUUCUGCCCUAUCAGCUUUGGAUGGUAGGGUAUUGGCCUACCAUGGCUUUAACGGGU
Molecule: ribosomal RNA, 319 nt
Filed under: uncultured fungus
Lineage: Eukaryota; Fungi
Description: partial small subunit ribosomal RNA
Rfam family: Eukaryotic small subunit ribosomal RNA
Source: RNAcentral